AAGGGUUAUGUUGUCCACAUCAGUGGUGGGAACCACAAAUAAGAUUUCCCCUUGAAGCAGGGUAUCUUGACCCAAGGCUGUAUCUGCCUGUGACUAAGGGGUAUUCCUGUUUUAGACCAAAGAGAACUGAAGAAAGAAAAUGCAAAUCUGUUUAGGGUUGCAUUAUGGAUGCCAAUCUGAGCAUUCUUAACACCGUUUUUGUAAAAGAGAGAGAGAGAGAGAGAAGGAUAUUCCUGGACUGACUGAUACUAUGGUGCCUCAUUGCCUGAGGCCCAAAAGAGCUAGCAGAGUCUGCAAACUUUUCAAUCUGUCUGAAAAAGAUGAUGUCUGCCAAUAUGUUGUAAAAAAAAAUUUUUAAAAAAAAUUUAAAAAAAGCCCUCAAAAAAAGAAAGUAAGAAACCUGGGGCCAAAGCACCUGAGAUUUUUACUACAUGUCCUGAAGCAUAAAUGCUGGCAUAUUUCUCUGAAGAAACAGCUUACUAAGAAAAGUAAGGAAGAGGUUGUAGAAUAUGCUAAGCUUUUGGCCAAGUAAAUGAAAGAGGCUAAAAACAAA
RNAcentral lists this long non-coding RNA (553 nucleotides) under Homo sapiens (human). Its description in RNAcentral is "non-protein coding lnc-MEI4-6:1". The record is from RNAcentral. Lineage: Eukaryota; Metazoa; Chordata; Mammalia; Primates; Hominidae.